GCGCAACCCUCGCUGUGUGUUACAAGUGGUCACACGGGAACUGCCCGGUCAUAAACCGGAGGAAGGUGGGGAUGACGUCAAGUCAGCAUGGCCUUUAUAUCCUGGGCUACACACACGCUACAAUGGGAAGGGACAAUAGGUUGCGAAGCCGCGAGGCGGAGCCAAUCCAGCAAAACUUCCCUCAGUUCAGAUUGCAGGCUGCAACUCGCCUGCAUGAAGUUGGAGUUGCUAGUAAACGCAGGGUCAGCCAUACUGCGUUGAAUACGUUCCCGGGGCUU
This 278-nucleotide ribosomal RNA is filed under the name uncultured Anaerolineaceae bacterium. Its description in RNAcentral is "partial 16S ribosomal RNA". It matches the Rfam family "Bacterial small subunit ribosomal RNA", at positions 1096 to 1382 of the family's 1533-position model. Lineage: Bacteria; Bacillati; Chloroflexota; Anaerolineae; Anaerolineales; Anaerolineaceae. The record is from RNAcentral.